Molecule: long non-coding RNA, 1335 nt
Filed under: Nicotiana tabacum (common tobacco)
Lineage: Eukaryota; Viridiplantae; Streptophyta; Magnoliopsida; Solanales; Solanaceae
Description: long non-coding RNA (NTAB_LNC006888)
Source: RNAcentral
AAUGGAUUUCGAUUCGACUCAUGCCAAAUCCUAUAGCUAGCCAUAGGAAUUUGGAUCUGUCAACUGUAUACAAAGAAAACUAUGAAACUGAUGCACUAUGUAAUUCUGCAAUUAGAGUGAUGUACUGGCUUUUUCAGAGAGGACUCCGACCAACUGGUGGUCAAAUCCAUCCAUCCACCAUAUCUCGAUGCCAUUUUAAGCACAAAUCAUCAGUUAGACAAUAACAACCUAAAGAGUGUGGAGAACUAAUUAACGCUACACUUUAGCAAGUUAAAUUAGUUUCAAAAGACGCAGAACAAAGAUCAACAAAGAAUGAAUACUAAACAGUUUAAAGCACACUGAAUAUAUGGAACCAACCAUGAACAACACAAAACCAAGUAAGACAUACGAACCAUACUAGUAAAGCAAACAUCCAUAUAUCUAUAAGGUAUCAGUAUUGAGCAGACAGACUACACAUAUGGUGAAGUAUGUUAUCCCUUCAAGUUUAUGACUAUAAGAUAGAAACAAAACGUACCUUAGUGCAAAAAUUAACUAGAGAAGAUAAGUAAGGGCCUGAAACUAGAUGAUGAGACUCAGAAUUCCAGCAAAGGAAACAAACAGCAGCAGAUGUUUUCCAACAAUUGACACAGCCUCUAAAUAGAAAAUAGGAAAAUUUCACCCCUCGAACUCGAACAACAGCUUUCAAAAGCGACGAACUUUACUUAAGUCAACUUCACUUGAACGAAAAUCAGAGAAGGAAAAUGGAACCCUUUUUUUUUUGAAAUUUCAGAUUUCUGAAGCAACUAAGAACAAACGAAAAACUGGAAAUUUUUUAGCAUUUUCUUUUAGAAGCGAGAUGAAGAGGGAAAUAAUAAAACCUAAGAAAACUCAGAACAAAACCUCUAUUUUUUUUUCUUCCUCUGAUUUUUUACCCUCGAAUUCUCCAAAAUUCUCCUCCUCAAAUCUCUGAAACCUCACUAUAUAUACUCGAUUCUCGAAGCUUCUCACCUCUUCUCCAAGAAAUCCCCAAAUUUUAUCCCAAAAUCCGAAAAAAACAUCAAAACCAACCUCACAUGGAACGAAACUUGGACAAAUGAAAGGCGUGGAUAUGAUUUCUCACAUCCAACCGCUCCUAUUUACCCGAGAUUCAUCCCCCGAAAUCAAGAGCGCGUGAAAAUGGAUAAAUGCUGAAAAUAUUCUGUCAGAGACGGUAUGCCACGUUGGAGAGAGAGGAGGAGACCAUGUGCGUUGAGUUUGGGGGACGAAUUCAUCCGAAAACUCAGAUGAGUUAAGCGAGCAGAAAACUCAGACGAGUUGAGCGAGCAGAAACGGGCUUGGGGGAAUAGCAGCGGCGUU